RNAcentral lists this transfer RNA (72 nucleotides) under Camelus bactrianus (Bactrian camel). It matches the Rfam family "tRNA". Rfam says of the family: Transfer RNA (tRNA) molecules are approximately 80 nucleotides in length. Their secondary structure includes four short double-helical elements and three loops (D, anti-codon, and T loops). Further hydrogen bonds mediate the characteristic L-shaped molecular structure. tRNAs have two regions of fundamental functional importance: the anti-codon, which is responsible for specific mRNA codon recognition, and the 3' end, to which the tRNAs corresponding amino acid is attached (by aminoacyl-tRNA synthetases). tRNAs cope with the degeneracy of the genetic code in two manners: having more than one tRNA (with a specific anti-codon) for a particular amino acid; and 'wobble' base-pairing, i.e. permitting non-standard base-pairing at the 3rd anti-codon position. RNAcentral also lists the same sequence under 2 other names. The record is from Rfam by way of RNAcentral. Lineage: Eukaryota; Metazoa; Chordata; Mammalia; Artiodactyla; Camelidae.
GAGGGUAUACCUCAGUGGUAGAGUGUGUGCCUAGCACGCACAAGGUCCCUGGUUUAAUCCUCAGUACCUCCA